This 376-nucleotide ribosomal RNA is filed under the name uncultured bacterium. Its description in RNAcentral is "bacterial SSU rRNA". It matches the Rfam family "Bacterial small subunit ribosomal RNA", at positions 524 to 898 of the family's 1533-position model. The record is from RNAcentral.
UACGUAGGAUGCGAGCGUUGUCCGGAAUUACUGGGCGUAAAGAGCGCGUAGGCGGUUUCUCGCGUGGGUUGUGAAAGCCCCUGGCUCACCUAGGGGAGUGCAGUCCAAACGGGGGAACUAGAGGGCGGUAGGGGCUGGCGGAAUGCCUGGAGUAGCGGUGAAAUGCGUUGAGAUCAGGCAGAACACCAGUGGCGAAGGCGGCCGGCUGGGCCGCACCUGACGCUGAGGCGCGAAAGCUAGGGGAGCGAACGGAAUUAGAUACUCCGGUAGUCCUAGCCCUAAACGAUGACCACUAGGUGUCGGGGGUAUCGACCCCUCCGGUGCCGGAGCACACGCGAUAAGUGGUCCGCCUGGGGAGUACGGCCGCAAGGCUAAA